Molecule: ribosomal RNA, 253 nt
Filed under: uncultured bacterium
Lineage: Bacteria
Description: partial 16S ribosomal RNA
Rfam family: Bacterial small subunit ribosomal RNA
Source: RNAcentral
GACGUAGGAGGCGAGCGUUGUCCGGAUUCAUUGGGCGUAAAGAGCACGCAGGCGGUUUGGCAAGUCGGAUGUGAAAACCCGGAGCUCAACUCCGGACCUGCAUCCGAAACUGCCCGACUAGAGGUAGGUAGGGGAGAUCGGAAUUCCUGGUGUAGCGGUGAAAUGCGUAGAUAUCAGGAAGAACACCCGUGGCGAAAGCGGCUCUCUGGAACGGUACUGACGCUGAGACGCGAAAGCGUGGGGAGCGAACAGG